Molecule: non-coding RNA, 870 nt
Organism: Oryzias latipes (Japanese medaka)
Lineage: Eukaryota; Metazoa; Chordata; Actinopteri; Beloniformes; Adrianichthyidae
Source: RefSeq, a predicted model, not a curated record
GUCAAUGUUAGAAACUGAAAGUGAAGCAGGUUUUAGCUCAAACCAAGAGAUCUUCCUCCACAGCAUGCUGAGUUAUGUGACAAACUUCUAUCUGAACUUUGACCACAAAUAUGUCUUAGUUCCAGAUGCUUCAUAUGCAAAGUAGAGAUCUCUGUUUUCCAACAGUUUUCUGACCAAGAAAGUCCUGAAACUGUGUGUUUGUCACAAAGCUUUCCUUCCAGCUCAGCAGACGGCGAGUUUCUCUCAUUAAUGGUUCUCAGCAGCUCUGGCUCCACAUGCUCCAACACAACAAACCUGGACAAACAUGAGAGGCGGAUCCUGUAAAGGAGUCAUGGUGGGAGACAGGCUUUGCACCACGACUUCACAAGACGAGGAGAGAAGAUGCUGAGAUGUUUGGAACCACUCCAGAGGAAACAGAAACCCAACACGGAUGGGCUGCCUCAUUCCGGAUCCUCUGCAGCUUCAGCAUUGACCAAACAUGAGGCAACUUUAACAAGAGGCUAAAGAUCUGCACCUGUUGGAGUUCCUCAAACCACCACUAGGGGGACGUCUGCAGCUGCCACGGGCAGAAGUUGAGGAGACGUCCUUCAGAGAUCACAGACUGUGGACGUCCUGUUCAAUCCCCACGGCGUCCCUCAAAGAACAACCAGGAUGCUGAGCGGGAAGCGACCCCACGCAGAUCCAUGAUGACCCCUCACAGCCACUUAUGUCAAAGCAGGAGGCAGACACUAAUCUAAAUCAACAGUUCUGAAGACCCUGCUGGAUCAGAGGAACCACCGCACUGCUGAUCAGCUGAUCCUCUUUUGGUGCUGAAAGGACGUUUUUGGUUCUGUUUGGUUGUUUUAAACGAGUAAAAGCUGAAAAAAUAUA